CGUGUAGUUUCGUUCCAAAAUUGUAAAAAAUGAACAAUUUUUGAAAUUCGUUCCCGAUAAAAUACCACUCCGCCAUAGUUCACCUUUCUUUCACACCCUUUCACCUUUGCACACACAGAGGAGAAGAAGAAGAACGCUCGACCUUGAAUCCUCGACACAGCAGAAGAGCUAAUCCUCAGUCAGCUACCAUCACUCGUCAGCGAUCUUCACCUCGGAUUCAGAUUCGCUACACACCAAGUUAGUCUCAUGUUUGAUUAACCAAGUCGGCUCAGCUCGAUCAAUGAACGUGUCAAGGUCAAGAACGGCCCAUUUAUAAUUGAUUGUUCUCAGUGCAAGGGGCAAGCCCAACUGUUGAUCGAUUCACCUGAUGACCAUUUACAAGCCCGAUUCAGCUUGACCUACUAGUCUAACCAUUUGUAAGCUAUAUAUUAAUAUUUUAAUCAAUUAUUAAAUGUGAUUAUUUGUAAAUUCUCCUAAAUUACUGUUGAUUUAAACCAUUGAUGGGUGGGUUAAUCUGUUUGUCCCUUUGACCAUUAAAAUUGAUUGUUGUAACCAAUUUUAUUUAUUUUUUCCUUUUUUAUCCUUUAAUUAUAUAUAUCUUUCUCUCUUUAAGUGAACCUUUUUUCCUACUUUCACUGUUCCUCUCUCUCGCCAGCUCUUUUCCAUGUUCCCCUCCUUGGCUACAAGUCUGCUAUCAAAAGAUAAGAUUCCUCCACCCAUCCCUUCCCCUGUCCCUACAGUACAAGAGAAAAGCAAGCUUCAUACCAUAAAACAAAGGAAAGAAAAGAAAAGAGAAAGUGAAAGUGAAAGUGAAAGUGAGUGAAUCAUACAGGCGAAGGAAUCCGAGAAGAGUGGGGUCAAGACUCUGGACUGGACUCUUUCUUGAGGAUUGACUAUGGAAGGAUUAUAGACUUAAGAAUUGUACAACUUUAAUGCUCUCAACAUAGGAAAGACAGAGAGUAGUGUUAAGUUCUUAGAAGGGUGGGUGUGGUCGGCAUGGAUCGAGAGGAAUGGAAGUAGUGGAAGGAGAGAGGAAGUCGUGAGAGGUGAGAGAAUAAAGGAGAUAUUGAGCUCUAGUCCAAGAAAUUACAUUAGUAGACAUGUGUUAGAUCAAACACCAAGAAAUACGAAAAA
Molecule: long non-coding RNA, 1134 nt
Organism: Macadamia integrifolia
Lineage: Eukaryota; Viridiplantae; Streptophyta; Magnoliopsida; Proteales; Proteaceae
Exons: 3
Source: RefSeq, a predicted model, not a curated record